RNA transcript from Neofelis nebulosa (Clouded leopard), 4251 nucleotides. It is a transcript of the gene named interleukin-36 gamma-like, with no coding region annotated. The transcript is spliced from 5 exons. Lineage: Eukaryota; Metazoa; Chordata; Mammalia; Carnivora; Felidae. The record is from RefSeq and is a predicted model, not a curated record.
GGAGUGGUGGGAGGGGCGGUUGUGGAGUCAGUCACGGAAACCUGCUUGGCCCGCGUAGACAGGACCGCCCUACUCCUCUCAGACCCUAAGGUUCACAGGAGCUCUGAAAAAACAAGGUUCUUAAAAAUGGAAAACAAAGAUAUUAUUUGCACUUGACUUCUUACCUUCUUCUACUUCGUUUGCAAUGGCCUCCAGGUCAUCAGCAGUGAGGAAUUGAUUUAAACUCAACCGCCUCUUCUUCAGAAUCUUCCCAUUGGCUACCACCAUCACCACACUCUCCUUGAGGAGAGAGACAGAACACGAACAGGGGAGGGUCAGAGAGAGAGGAAGACACAGAAUCCGAAGCAGGCUCCAGGCUCUGAGCUGUCAGCACAAAGGCCGACGCUGGGCUCGAACCCACAGACCACAAGAUCAUGACCUGAGCUGAAGUCGGACGCUCAACAGACUGAGCCACCCAGGCGCCCCAAGCCAUGAGGGGGAAGAUGGCUGGGCUCACCGCGUCCUACUGAUCACUUAGAUUCCACCUACACCUGCCUAAAUAACCCAGAAAACUGCCAGAAGACUAGCAGAACGGAGUCUCCGGAGCCAAGCGCAGACGAGAGGCCCACGGAAGAGGGUGUACAAUAUGGUGAUUCAAUAAUUCUAUAUAUUAUUUGAUACUCAUCAUGGUAAGUGUACUCUGAAUAUUCUUUACCUAUUUCACUCAUCUCCCCACCACCCUCCAUUCUGGUAACCACCAGUUUUCUUCUCUAUAGUUAAGAGUCUAUUUUUUGGUUUGUCUCUUUUUUCUUUGCUAAUUUGUUUUGUUUAUUAAAUUCCAUAUGUGAGUGAAAUCAUACUGUAUUUGCCUUUCUUUCACUGACAUUUCACCUAGCAUUAUACCCUCUAGAUCUAUCCACAUUGUUGCAAAUAGCAAGAUCUCAUUCUUUUUAUGGCUUAGUAAUAAUCGUGUGUGUAUGUGUGUGUGUGUGUGUGUGUGUGUGUGUGUGUGUCUGCGUCUUUAUACCUCACAUCUUCUUUGUCCAUUCAUAUAGAUAGACACUUGGGUUGCUUCCAUAAUUUGGCUAUUGUAAAUAGUGCUGCAAUAAACAUAAGGGUGCAUAUAUCUUUUUGAAUUACUGUUUUCAUAUUCUUUGAGUAAAUACCCAGUAGUGGAAUUACUGGAUCAUAUGGUAAUUCUAUUUUUAAUUUUUUGAGGAACCGCCACGGUGUUUUCCAUAGUGGCUGCACCAGUUUGCAUUCCCACCCAACAGUGCAUGAAGGUUCCUUUUUUCCCAUAUCCUCACCAACACUUGUUCUUUUUUGUGUUUUUGAUUUUAGUCAUUCUGACAGGUGUGAGGUGAUAUCUCACUGUGCUUUUGAUUUGCAUUUUCCUGACGAUGAAUGAUGUUGAGCAUCUUUUCAUGUGUCUGUUGGCCAUUUGUGUGUCUUCUUUGGAGAAAUGUCUGUUCAUGUUUUCUGCCCAUUUUUUAAUUGGAUUAUUUGUUUCUUGGUGUUGAGUUGUGUAAGUUCUUUAUAUACUUUUGAUAGUAACCCCUUAUCACAUAUGUCAUUUGCAAAUAUCUUCUCCCAUUCCCUAUACUGUCUUUUUAGUUUUUUUUAUUGUUUCCUUUGCUGUGCAGAAGCCUUUUAUUUUGAUGUAGUCCCAAUGGUUUAUUUUUACUUUUAUUUCCCUUGCUUCAGGAGACAUAUCUAAAAAAAAAAAAUGUUGCUACAGCUGAUACCAGAAAUUACUGCCUGGGCUCUCUUCUAUAAUUUCUAUGGUUUCAUGCCUCGCUUUUAGUUCUUUAAUUCAUUUUGAAUUUAUUUUUUGUGUAUGGUGUAAGAAAGUAGCCUAGUUUUAAUCUUUUGCAUGUAGUCGUCCAGUUUUCCCAACAUGAUUUGUUGAAGAGACUGUCUUUCUCCCAUUGCAUAUUCUUACCCCCUUUGUCAAAGAUUAAUUGACCAUUUAAUCAUGGGUUUAUUUCUGGGCUCUCUAUUUGGGACUAUUGUUCUAUGUGUCUACUUUUGUGUCAGUACCAUACUGUUUUGAUUACUAUAGCUUUGUAGUAUAUCUUGAAAUCUGGGAUUGUGAUAAAUUAAACAAAACCUACAGUUUUGUUCUUCCUUUUUAAGAUUGCUUUGGCUUUUGGGGGUCUUUUGUGAUUCCAUAUAAAUUUUAGGAUUGUUUAUUCCAGUUCUGUGAAAAUGCUAUUGGUAUUUUGAUAGAAAUUGCAUUAAGUCUGUAGAUUGCUUUGGGUAGCCUGGACAUUUUAACAAUAUUUCUCUUCCCAAUCCAUGUGAAAUGGAAUAUCUUUCCAUUUGUUUGUGUCAUCUUCAAUUUCUUUCAUCAGUGUUUUAUAGCUUUCAGAGUUUCGUUGGUUUAUCCAUCUUGCUAGAAACUUUCUGCAGAUGUUUAGUGGCUUUUCUGCUUAUAUUCAAGGUUAGGCCACUUGAAAGCCAAUUGGAAGCUCUGAAUAUAUGGGUGAGGCCUGUUGGCUGUGAGUGCUGUCAUUUUAAUGACUUGGCAGGGCCACUGUAUUGGAGAAACCCUAAUAUUAGUAUUGACUUUAUUCUCUAGGGAAGCCUCGUUUAGUCUCCUGCCUAAAGGAUAAAUGCCUGGUAAGGAUCCUUCUGUAAGUGGCGUGGGGAAGAAGGUCUGGGAUUCUCAACAUCAUGCCGCAUGCUUUCAUUAAUCAUCCUGUUUUCAGUAUUUUUCUCCUACCUUCAAAUGUGCCUGGUGUCUCCCAUUACCCUUUAUUUUACAUUUUCUACAGAAUAAACUUGCUCUCUUCUACUAGUAUGGGAAAGGUGAUCUGUGGAUAUAACUGUUAGUUUUUUCCCCCUGUUAAUGUCAUUUUUGUUAUUACCAGAUGUUAAAUUAUUAUCAUGUCCUUCUUCAAAAAGACUGAACCAGUCAGCAACAAAUGAGAAUUUCCUCAUAGUUCUGCCAGUACUUUUAAAAGACAGUGUUAUUGAGGUAAAACUGACAUAUACUAAACUGCAUGUAAUUUAAACUGUGUAAUUUAUGUUUAACAUACCCCCUUUAAACCAUCACCAAGUCAAGAUAGUGAACAUAUUUAUUAUCUGUUUCCUCAGGACUCUUUGCAAUUCCUUCGUCUCCCCUUCUUUAUUCCCAAGCAAAGACUGACCUAUUUUCUGUCACUAUAGAUAGUUUACAUUUUCUAGACUUUUAUGUAAAUAGAAUCAUAUAAUAUAUAUUUACAAAUGUACUUUUUCUUUGGUUUGUAACCAUUAAUUUUUUUAAGUUUAUUUAUUUAGAGAGAGAGUGAGAGUAAGUGUGUGCAGGUGGGCAAGGAGCAGAGAGAGAGGGAGAGAGAGAAACCUAAGCAGUCUCUGUACUGUCAGCACAGAGCCAGAUGUGGGGCUCGAACUCACAAACCAUGAGAUCAUGACUUGAGCUGAAAUCAAGAGUCAGAUGCUUAACUGAGCCAUCCAAGCACCAUUUUUUAAACUGGUUUCCAAACAGUUUUCCUUAUUUUACCUUCUCCUCCAGUCUCAAAUGUACUAGAUGUUGGUUGGUUCUCAGCUUUUCCACUGCUGACUUAAGAACAAUUUCCUCUUGUCCAACUUCUUUCCAGCUUUCAAUAUUUUUUUUCUUUAAAAAACUCCUGUGUGGGAUGGGGAACUUUUGAAUUUUUGUUGUGAAUGUGAACUCAAUGAAGUGUAUGCCCAGGAGUUGCCUGAUCAAAACAGUUCAUACCACCGCCAUUGUUGCUGUGUCCUUUUCUCUUCUCUCCAUGCUUGUGGGUUUGUGCCUUUAAGAUCCCUUUCAGGUUAUUUAAUGAUGUUUGCAAAAAGGAACAGAAUUAGGUGAAAGAGUUCAUAUCUGUCAUCUUUGUCUGGAAGCUGAGACUGUUCAUACAUGAAGGUUUACUAGAAAGUUCUGUGCUGGCUGGAGAUGUCAGAGCAUGUGUGAAGCAGUUGCUGGAGGAAAAUAAAGUCAUUUCUUGUUUAUAAUUCACUAAGUUCAGACUGCCAAAUAUACUAGUUACAUUUGGUAUUCAGUAAAAUGUAGGUUCUCCUCCUGCCCUCCUUUCCUCUCUCCUUCUCUCCAUUAUUCCCUCCUUUCCUCCUUCCACUUUAGCAGCUGCUGUGGGGAAACUUCUCAGGAAAUUUCUGUUCUCGGAGGAGAAUGUGCCAGCCCACAGGUAAGGGAGACAUUUUGCAAGAAUAAAAGAGUUGUUGCAGCUCAAUUUAGGAUAGUGUGAAGGUCAUUGAAGAUAUCUCAGGAGUUAGCUGGUUAGGGCA